GGAAGGAUCAUUAACAAAUCAUCAAAUGGUGUGGGGGUGGUGCGUCGCAAGACGUGUCCCCCCCCCCAAAUAUUCUAACCUGUGAAUCGCCGGCAAGAGGUGCGAGAAAUCGCACUUGCUGUCGGUUGUGCGAGAAAUCGCGCAAACAUAAACGUCGUCUACACAAUGUCUAAAUACACAAAACACACAAAUACAACUUUUAGCAAUGGAUCUCUUGGCUUCUGUAACGAUGAAGAACGCAGUGAAAUGCGAUAAUUAAUGUGAAUUGCAUUAUCUCGUGAAUCAUCGAGUCUUUGAACGCAUCUUGCACUUUUCAGGUCUCCUGGAAAGUAUACUUGUUUGAGUAUCAUAAACAUUAAAUCCUCUCUAUCAUCAGAGAGAGAGGGAAUUGAGGCGUCAUGGCGUUAUGCCGUGUGCCUUUUAAUUGAUGAGUCAGCAAUCCCAUCGUUUCGGCGGUGGGAGCCUUGCACAACAACCAAAUGUGAGAUACAUAUCGCACAAAGUAGUACGUGAUGAGGUCAACGCCGGCGCGCCCAGAAGCAGCAGCAGCAACAACAACUUGGCGGCUUUCAUAGCUAGCUUUCGUUGCUGCUUCGCUUCACCACCUGAAUAUUGAUCUCAAAUCAAGUAAGACUACCCGCUGAACUUAAGCAUAUCAGUAAGCGGAGGAAAAGAAACUAACAAGGAUUCCCCCAGUAACGGCGAGUGAAGAGGGAAGAGCUCAAAUUUAAAAUCUGUAAGGUUUCCCCUUACCGAAUUGUAGUUUAUAGAAGCGUUUUCUUGGCACGGCAACUGGUAAAAGUCUUUUGAAAAGAAGCAUCAAAGAGGGUGACAAUCCCGUAUUUGGCCUUUUGCCCGUGUCUCUAUGAGGCGCUUUCUAAGAGUCGGAUUGUUUGGGAAUGCAGUCCUAAAUGGGUGGUAAAUUUCAUCUAAAGCUAAAUAUAGACAGAAGACCGAUAGCGAACAAGUACCGUGAGGGAAAGAUGAAAAGAACUUUGAAAAGAGAGUUAAAAGUACGUGAAAUUGCUAAAAGGGAAACGAUCAAAGUCAGUAUUGCGCGAUUGGUUCAGUCAUGAUUUGCUGAUGCGCCAGUGUUGCGAGCCUCACGGCCAAGACACUGGCGUCUGACGGCUAGUCCUGAUGCAUUCCGGUCGCUGCAAGUCAACAUCAGUUUGGCGUCUGCUGGAUAAUGUCUGGAGGAAGAUGGGCAUGCCUUCGGGCACUGUCUUUAUAGACUCCUUACGGUAACAGUGGGCUAGACUGAGGAACGCAAUCCAAAGCCCCGCAAGGGGUUGGGUCUAACUGCGCAUAUUCCGACAACACCAGACACUCAACUUGUUGGCUGUCUGGGGAAGCCGGCGUAUCGUGCAGGGUCGACACCAUUGGAUUAAGGAUGUUGACGAAAUGGCUUUGACCGACCCGUCUUGAAACACGGACCAAGGAGUCUAACAAUUGUGCGAGUGUUUGAGUGUUAAACUCAAGCGCGUAACGAAAGUGAUCAACGAUGGGAUCCGCAAGGUGCACCAUCAGCCAGUUUUUCGCAUGAAGGACUGAGCAAGAGCACAGCUGUUAGGACCCGAAAGAUGGUGAACUAUGCCUGAAUAGGGUGAAGUCAGAGGAAACUCUGAUGGAAGCUCGUAGCGGUUCUGACGUGCAAAUCGAUCGUCAAAUUUGGGUAUAGGGGCGAAAGACUAAUCGAACCAUCUAGUAGCUGGUUCCCUC
This 1722-nucleotide unclassified non-coding RNA is filed under the name uncultured fungus. RNAcentral describes it as "sequence contains 18S rRNA gene, ITS1, 5.8S rRNA gene, ITS2, 28S rRNA gene". The stretch from base 614 to 1722 matches the Rfam family "Eukaryotic large subunit ribosomal RNA", at positions 1 to 961 of the family's 3401-position model. The record is from RNAcentral. Lineage: Eukaryota; Fungi.